RNAcentral lists this ribosomal RNA (693 nucleotides) under uncultured Bacilli bacterium. RNAcentral describes it as "bacterial SSU rRNA". It matches the Rfam family "Bacterial small subunit ribosomal RNA", at positions 59 to 735 of the family's 1533-position model. The record is from RNAcentral. Lineage: Bacteria; Bacillati; Bacillota; Bacilli.
AAGUUGAGCGCUGAAGGUUGGUACUUGUACCGACUGGAUGAGCAGCGAACGGGUGAGUAACGCGUGGGGAAUCUGCCUUUGAGCGGGGGACAACAUUUGGAAACGAAUGCUAAUACCGCAUAAAAACUUUAAACACAAGUUUUAAGUUUGAAAGAUGCAAUUGCAUCACUCAAAGAUGAUCCCGCGUUGUAUUAGCUAGUUGGUGAGGUAAAGGCUCACCAAGGCGAUGAUACAUAGCCGACCUGAGAGGGUGAUCGGCCACAUUGGGACUGAGACACGGCCCAAACUCCUACGGGAGGCAGCAGUAGGGAAUCUUCGGCAAUGGACGAAAGUCUGACCGAGCAACGCCGCGUGAGUGAAGAAGGUUUUCGGAUCGUAAAACUCUGUUGGUAGAGAAGAACGUUGGUGAGAGUGGAAAGCUCAUCAAGUGACGGUAACUACCCAGAAAGGGACGGCUAACUACGUGCCAGCAGCCGCGGUAAUACGUAGGUCCCGAGCGUUGUCCGGAUUUAUUGGGCGUAAAGCGAGCGCAGGUGGUUUAUUAAGUCUGGUGUAAAAGGCAGUGGCUCAACCAUUGUAUGCAUUGGAAACUGGUAGACUUGAGUGCAGGAGAGGAGAGUGGAAUUCCAUGUGUAGCGGUGAAAUGCGUAGAUAUAUGGAGGAACACCGGUGGCGAAAGCGGCUCUCUGGCCU